GACGUAGGAGGCGAGCGUUGUCCGGAUUCAUUGGGCGUAAAGAGCGCGCAGGCGGCUCGGUAAGUCGGUUGUGAAAUUCCGGGGCUCAACCCCGGGACUGCGUCCGAUACUGUCGAGCUAGAGGUAGGUAGGGGAGAUCGGAAUUCCUGGUGUAGCGGUGAAAUGCGCAGAUAUCAGGAGGAACACCGGUGGCGAAGGCGGAUCUCUGGGCCUUACCUGACGCUCAGGCGCGAAAGCUAGGGGAGCGAACUGGAUUAGAUACCCAGGUAGUCCUAGCUGUAAACGUUGGGUGCUAGGUGUGGGCGGAUAUCGACCCCGUCCGUGCCGAAGCUAACGCAUUAAGCACCCCGCCUGGGGAGUACGGCCGCAAGGCUAAA
RNAcentral lists this ribosomal RNA (377 nucleotides) under uncultured bacterium. RNAcentral's name for it is "bacterial SSU rRNA". It matches the Rfam family "Bacterial small subunit ribosomal RNA", at positions 524 to 898 of the family's 1533-position model. The record is from RNAcentral.